Molecule: transfer RNA, 67 nt
Filed under: Cavia porcellus (domestic guinea pig)
Lineage: Eukaryota; Metazoa; Chordata; Mammalia; Rodentia; Caviidae
Rfam family: tRNA
About the family: Transfer RNA (tRNA) molecules are approximately 80 nucleotides in length. Their secondary structure includes four short double-helical elements and three loops (D, anti-codon, and T loops).
Source: Rfam by way of RNAcentral
GGGGAUUUAGCUCAGUGGCAUAAGCGCCUGCCUUGCAAGCAGGCAGUGGUGGUGAGUUCAAUCCCCG